Molecule: non-coding RNA, 2440 nt
Organism: Triticum urartu
Lineage: Eukaryota; Viridiplantae; Streptophyta; Magnoliopsida; Poales; Poaceae
Source: RefSeq, a predicted model, not a curated record
UCCUGGAAAGCCCAUUGGCCCCAAUCCGCCCGCACGCCCGCACCCCUCCCUCCUCCCUCGCUCGUCUCAGCCGCCACCCCACGAACCCUAGCCGCCACCCCCACGAACCCUUAGCCGCUCCCUUCCUUCAUCCGUCCUCCUCCCUCUCCCUGGUACGAGCCCCUCCCUGGCCGCCGCGAGCUCCUCCUCCUCCGUUCUCACAUGCUCCAACCCGAGCACGCUGGCGGAGACACGCACCGCGAGGCCCCGGAGCAGUUCAGCCAGUACAGAGCCCCUCCGUACAAGAGGAAACCCGUGGCCAAUCCAGCCAACAAUGACGACGCGUAGGAGAGCUCGACCUUGAUGAGGAAAGCAGCGGAGUUGGUGCAGCGGCGAAGGUCAGGGUCGGCCGUGGAGGGAGGCUUGAUGGCCGAAGCAGCAGGAGCAAGAAGGUUGAGGUGGUUCAGAAACUGAAUGCAUAUAAGAAUCGAGGACCUUCACAGUGGAUUCAUGAUGAUGAUCAUCUACCGAGGCAUCAAGAUGAGCACAUCAUCUUGGACAAGCAGAUGCUAAUUUCUUCUUGCAUCCCGAGUACAUAUGUGAGGCUAUGGGAGUACUUUUUCAUGUGAUGAUGGGAGGAAUGAAUUGUACCAUGUGAACACAAUCGCUGGUAGUUUUGAAGGGAUAAGCUGGUCAAUGCAGGAAAAUCUGAAAGAAAGCGACUAAAAUCAACAUUUGAAGUUCAUCGAAAAAUGAAGAGGAUCGUGCCUUUCUGUUGGAAUUGCUUUUCUGGUUUAAGCAAUCAUUCAGGUUAUUGAAACACUCUCAUGCCUCUUUUCUUCGGUCAUUACUAAUGAUGAGUGUCGUGUGUCUAAUACGGUUUCAUGAGAGUAAUUAAGUAGUGAGAGCUUUCAGAUUAGGGAUUACGAAUAUGAAGUAGAUGUGCCUUAUAUAUAGACGCCUAACAAUUAAAAAACUAAUAAUUAUCUCUAAUCAUCCUUACAUGCAUAGAUGCAUGCGAGCUAUCUCUGUUUUCAGACCCUCUCUCUGUUACACAUUUCCAUGAAAAAACAAAAGUAAAAGGGAAAACUCACUUUGGGUUCAUAUGGUGCAGACCAACAAGCGAUUGUUAAUGAAAGGUUUGAUUGCAGGUAUACUGAAAUCAAGGUCUUUUAUCUAAUUGGUUGGAUAACUACUUUUCAGGUCUAUGCCUUUAACUAAAAUUAAGCAUUUAACUAUUGUUCUGUUGUGUUAUUGAUUUCACCGCUUUUAUGUCAGCCGAUUAGUUCUGAAGGAUUCCACAACGGCUAAUUUAGAUUAUGCAACUUUCGACCAAAAAUAAUUAUUGACAUGUAUAUUUAUCAAGAUCUUUUAUCUAAUUCGUUGGAUAACUACUUUUCAGCUUCAACAUUUGGCUCAUUCUUUUGGUAAUGUUUUCUUGAUAGUGGAGCAGUCAUGGACCUGUUAUAGAGACCUUGGUGAAAAACUUGUCACUGCAAUUUAGUCAAAUGGGUGUUGAGAUUGAAGUUUCUACUUUCGUUGACUUUCUGAUAAAUUACAAAAACAUCGACAAGGUUAUGUGGGAGCCUUUUAUAGUCCUCAUGUUUUCAGUUAAAUAUACUUCGAAAAUGUUUUGAUCAUGCACUGGAUGUAUCUCCCAGUACUGUGGUGUCGCUAAAUUCAAGCAAGCAGCUUAAUGUUAACAUAUCAGAGCCCUUCAUCGAGCUACAUGAUCUUAACAAAUCAGUUUUCCUGUAUUGAACUGAUUUUCCACUUGCAUUGUGUCUUAGAGAAGGAAGUUUUGUAUGGCAGUCAGACUCUCUUCUCCGAUUCAGAUUCAUAGUUAAAUACCCCAACUACUUUUUUUCAGCCCUUGACAUUUUCUUCUACUUGCUAAUGCAGGAUGGAAAACUGCCUGUUACAUGUAGUCUUCAGAACCUGUGCUGAAAUGACGCUUCUUUGGUUGGAAAGUGUCCAAUUUUGCAAAACUUUUGGCUGUCUCGAAUAGUUUUCAAGUUGUUUCAGUGACAUCAGUUCUGCUAAGAGGUUUUAAAUGUCUAAAUACCUGUUACCAUCAGUGACCAAACUUGUGGCGGUGUGCAAUGUUCACCUAACUUAAAACAGCUUGCGCCCUGUCUUUUAAUUUACCAUCCAUCCGUCAAGCGAGCUCAAGCAUAAAUUCUGAACAUUCAGACAAUCAACCAAGAUGCAGGUGCAUUAGAGAAUGGAAAAGGCAAAGCUCCCAAAGAGUAAUUGAUAUUUCCUCCACUGCUGAUGACGAAAACAACUGAAAAAGGCCAGAAGUAUCAACCUAUACUUGCCUACAUUUACCAACUCUUCUCCCUGUACAAAAAUAAAUAAAUAGAUGUACACACGGGCGUUUAAGUUGACAUACAUGCCUGCCCAUGAACAAGUCUAUUGAUACGUGUUUUUUUUCAAAGCAUGAGUGUUAGUGGGUCUU